CCCAGGAAUACAGGCAUGUGACCGAAGAAAAAGACAACAAAGGGACAUGAGAGAGGGAAAGAACACUUGAGGACAGGAGCGUGACAUCUCUGGAGAAAGGAAAGGAGUACAUGACUUUACCAACAAAAAAUGGGAUUUGCUGGAGGGGGCUAAACAGGGAGCAGUGUGGGAAUAGAACUGUUACAAGGCUCAAGAAGGAAAAUGAGAGUGUUUUGGCCUGUUCAGUGCUCAGGAUUCUCACUGAGCCUCUAUUAGCUGGACGGUUUUAACUAAGUUCUUCUGGAAGAGGCUCUCACACCAAGAUGGCCUUAAUGAUUUUCCUACCCAUAGCCUACUUCACCUGAAGUUUAUUCUGAAACAAGACCUCCUUGGGAUGGUGUGGAAAUGCAAGGAAAGGAGGUCAGAGCUUGAUGGGAAGGCAAAUCUUCACCUCCUGCUCAUGGCUGAGUGGUAUGGGGAAGAAAGCCUCAGAGCCUACAAACACAGGGAAAAAAGGAAGCGAUCCUUCAAGCAAAGCAGCUUACCAUCAAGAGGAGAAACCUUGUGCUUUUAACCAUUAGCAAAUGACAGGUACAGAACUAGACACUUUAUACAAGCCUGAACAGGUCUGAAAUCCCACGGAGAUUUGUACUGAGUGCUUAGGAUGUAAGCUUAAAAAACACGUGUUGAAAUCAGUUGCUUCUUUUUUGAGGUGCUGAGGCCAGCUGGCAUGGAAUACCUUGCUUCUGCUUUGAAACUCAUCAGCUUCAAAAACUACAUCUGAUUCACCUGUAGAGAAUGGUCUCUGGAACACCCUCACUCCAAAACUUUGUCUGUAAAUCGUUUGCAAGGACACUACCUGGCAAAGAGCAAGCGUGCCAUGGACCUGCACCGGGUCCAGGGAAGAAGAAGCCAUGCUGCACGCAGCUCAGGUAAGAGCUGCCGCUGCUCUGACGCCAGAGCAGAAGGUUUGCAAGUCAUUGCUGUAAUUCCAUUUUUACCCAGCCUUUCUAACAAAGUGCCUGGUUUCUCACGUU
Phalacrocorax carbo (great cormorant) is the source of this 1016-nucleotide non-coding RNA. The record is from RefSeq and is a predicted model, not a curated record. Lineage: Eukaryota; Metazoa; Chordata; Aves; Suliformes; Phalacrocoracidae.